GCGUCGGUAGCUCAGCUGGAUAGAGCGACUGCCUUCUAAGCAGUAGGUCGAGGGUCCGAAUCCCUCCCGACGUA
This 74-nucleotide transfer RNA is filed under the name Candidatus Woesebacteria bacterium. RNAcentral describes it as "tRNA-Arg". It matches the Rfam family "tRNA". From Rfam's summary of the family: Transfer RNA (tRNA) molecules are approximately 80 nucleotides in length. RNAcentral also lists the same sequence under 1 other name. The record is from RNAcentral. Lineage: Bacteria; Candidatus Woeseibacteriota.